Long non-coding RNA from Cygnus atratus (black swan), 869 nucleotides. RefSeq lists it as uncharacterized. The record is from RefSeq and is a predicted model, not a curated record. The transcript has 3 exons. NCBI's taxonomy places the organism in Eukaryota, Metazoa, Chordata, Aves, Anseriformes, Anatidae.
CAGGAGCUGGAGCCAGACACAUUCAAAUGCGAGAUAAGGCACAUGCAGAGGAGCCAAACUUGGCCAGGUGUCGAGAAGACAGGUCUGCUGUGAAGAGUCACUAGUCUCACUGCAUUCUGAAGGCCUUCUUCCAUCUUUGCAGAAGACUUUUAGGUGCCUGCAAGUAUCUUGGACUACACCCGAGGUGUCUCAAUACUUUCUCCUGUGCUCUACAAAUGAAACUAAAACUGAGGGCUCAAGGAUUCACGUCAGUGAAGACCCUCCAAUUUUAAGUCACGGGUGAGACCCUCAUACUAAUCUUUGAGGGCAGGCUGGGCACUUGUUGUAAACCAACAGCAACAGCAUGCCUCAGUAUGAAUGCACAUAUGGUACCUACAAAAUACCAUGUGCUUCUUGAUUUGGAACCUCAGCAAUACCUUAGCAUACAGAGAACAUAAGAACCACAAGAAAAGGCCAUGGGAACAGGAAAAGACCCUUUUAAUUCCACCUUCCUGCUUUUUCAACCUCCUCCCCCAUCCCCUCCUUCUCCAGCAACAAAUGAAGGUGUCUGUGCAACUCAUUUACAUGCUUUGCUUAGACUGCCUACUCUGGUAAUUUAUUCCAUAUGUUUAUUGCCCUUUGUGUGCAAUAUUCCUGCCUGUGUUCCCUAUUUGCUUAUAAUUUCCUAAUUUUUCAGGUCCUAUCUCCUGUUUUUUGUUUUGUUUCAUUUUGUUUUGAACCUGCUCACCCAUGUGUGAUCUCUGUGAAAUUUCUGCUUACAGCAAAGUUAGCAGCCAAUGUUACUUUCAGCCUUUGCGAAGCAGUGCCUUGUUCAGGGGGACUAUGCUGAGGCUGCAGACAGGAUGGGACCUACUGGGAGAUGUAAUUAG